UCGAGCGAACAGAGAAGGAGCUUGCUCCUUUGACGUUAGCGGCGGACGGGUGAGUAACACGUGGGCAACCUACCUUAUAGUUUGGGAUAACUCCGGGAAACCGGGGCUAAUACCGAAUAAUCUAUUUCACUUCAUGGUGAAAUACUGAAAGACGGUCUCGGCUGUCGCUAUAAGAUGGGCCCGCGGCGCAUUAGCUAGUUGGUGAGGUAACGGCUCACCAAGGCGACGAUGCGUAACCGACCUGAGAGGGUGAUCGGCCACACUGGGACUGAGACACGGCCCACACUCCUACGGGAGGCAGCAGUAGGGAAUCUUCCACAAUGGGCGAAAGCCUGAUGGAGCAACGCCGCGUGAGUGAAGAAGGUUUUCGGAUCGUAAAACUCUGUUGUAAGGGAAGAACAAGUACAGUAGUAACUGGCUGUACCUUGACGGUACCUUAUUAGAAAGCCACGGCUAACUACGUGCCAGCAGCCGCGGUAAUACGUAGGUGGCAAGCGUUGUCCGGAAUUAUUGGGCGUAAAGCGCGCGCAGGCGGUCCUUUAAGUCUGAUGUGAAAGCCCACGGCUCAACCGUGGAGGGUCAUUGGAAACUGGGGGACUUGAGUGCAAAAGAGGAAAGUGGAAUUCCAAGUGUAGCGGUGAAAUGCGUAUAGAUUUGGAGGAACACCAGUGGCGAAGGCGACUUUCUGGUCUGUAACUGACGCUGAGGCGCGAAAGCGUGGGGAGCAAACAGGAUUAGAUACCCUGGUAGUCCACGCCGUAAACGAUGAGUGCUAAGUGUUAGGGGGUUUCCGCCCCUUAGUGCUGCAGCUAACGCAUUAAGCACUCCGCCUGGGGAGUACGGUCGCAAGACUGAAACUCAAAGGAAUUGACGGGGGCCCGCACAAGC
This 888-nucleotide ribosomal RNA is filed under the name Lysinibacillus pakistanensis. RNAcentral describes it as "bacterial SSU rRNA". It matches the Rfam family "Bacterial small subunit ribosomal RNA", at positions 62 to 930 of the family's 1533-position model. The record is from RNAcentral. Lineage: Bacteria; Bacillati; Bacillota; Bacilli; Caryophanales; Bacillaceae.